GUGGAAGUAGUUCAGUGGUAGAGCGUCAGAUUGUGGAUCUGAUAGUCGAGGGUUCGAACCCCUUCUUCCACC
Molecule: transfer RNA, 72 nt
Filed under: Spirochaetales bacterium
Lineage: Bacteria; Pseudomonadati; Spirochaetota; Spirochaetia; Spirochaetales
Description: tRNA-His
Rfam family: tRNA
About the family: Transfer RNA (tRNA) molecules are approximately 80 nucleotides in length. Their secondary structure includes four short double-helical elements and three loops (D, anti-codon, and T loops). Further hydrogen bonds mediate the characteristic L-shaped molecular structure. tRNAs have two regions of fundamental functional importance: the anti-codon, which is responsible for specific mRNA codon recognition, and the 3' end, to which the tRNAs corresponding amino acid is attached (by aminoacyl-tRNA synthetases). tRNAs cope with the degeneracy of the genetic code in two manners: having more than one tRNA (with a specific anti-codon) for a particular amino acid; and 'wobble' base-pairing, i.e. permitting non-standard base-pairing at the 3rd anti-codon position.
Source: RNAcentral